Molecule: ribosomal RNA, 422 nt
Filed under: uncultured bacterium
Lineage: Bacteria
Description: bacterial SSU rRNA
Rfam family: Bacterial small subunit ribosomal RNA
Source: RNAcentral
AAUUGUUCGCAAUGGGCGCAAGCCUGACGACGCAACGCCUCGUGGAGGAUGAAGAUCUUCGGGUCGUAAACUCCUGUCGAGUGGGAAGAAUAGUGUCCGGGCGAAUAUCCCGGACACCUGACGGUCCCCCUAAAGGAAGCCCCGGCUAACUCCGUGCCAGCAGCCGCGGUAAUACGGGGGGGGCAAACGUUGUUCGGAAUUACUGGGCGUAAAGCGCGUGUAGGCGGCUUGGCAAGUCGGGUGUGAAAGCCCCGGGCUCAACCUGGGAAGUGCACUCGAAACUGCUUGGCUUGAGUACUGGAGAGGGAAGCGGAAUUCUCGGUGUAGAGGUGAAAUUCGUAGAUAUCGAGAGGAACACCGGUGGCGAAGGCGGCUUCUUGGACAGUUACUGACGCUGAGACGCGAAAGCGUGGGGAGCAAAC